RNAcentral lists this ribosomal RNA (2904 nucleotides) under Escherichia coli. RNAcentral describes it as "23S ribosomal RNA from Escherichia coli (PDB 6U48, chain CA)". It matches the Rfam family "Bacterial large subunit ribosomal RNA". Lineage: Bacteria; Pseudomonadati; Pseudomonadota; Gammaproteobacteria; Enterobacterales; Enterobacteriaceae. The record is from RNAcentral.
GGUUAAGCGACUAAGCGUACACGGUGGAUGCCCUGGCAGUCAGAGGCGAUGAAGGACGUGCUAAUCUGCGAUAAGCGUCGGUAAGGUGAUAUGAACCGUUAUAACCGGCGAUUUCCGAAUGGGGAAACCCAGUGUGUUUCGACACACUAUCAUUAACUGAAUCCAUAGGUUAAUGAGGCGAACCGGGGGAACUGAAACAUCUAAGUACCCCGAGGAAAAGAAAUCAACCGAGAUUCCCCCAGUAGCGGCGAGCGAACGGGGAGCAGCCCAGAGCCUGAAUCAGUGUGUGUGUUAGUGGAAGCGUCUGGAAAGGCGCGCGAUACAGGGUGACAGCCCCGUACACAAAAAUGCACAUGCUGUGAGCUCGAUGAGUAGGGCGGGACACGUGGUAUCCUGUCUGAAUAUGGGGGGACCAUCCUCCAAGGCUAAAUACUCCUGACUGACCGAUAGUGAACCAGUACCGUGAGGGAAAGGCGAAAAGAACCCCGGCGAGGGGAGUGAAAAAGAACCUGAAACCGUGUACGUACAAGCAGUGGGAGCACGCUUAGGCGUGUGACUGCGUACCUUUUGUAUAAUGGGUCAGCGACUUAUAUUCUGUAGCAAGGUUAACCGAAUAGGGGAGCCGAAGGGAAACCGAGUCUUAACUGGGCGUUAAGUUGCAGGGUAUAGACCCGAAACCCGGUGAUCUAGCCAUGGGCAGGUUGAAGGUUGGGUAACACUAACUGGAGGACCGAACCGACUAAUGUUGAAAAAUUAGCGGAUGACUUGUGGCUGGGGGUGAAAGGCCAAUCAAACCGGGAGAUAGCUGGUUCUCCCCGAAAGCUAUUUAGGUAGCGCCUCGUGAAUUCAUCUCCGGGGGUAGAGCACUGUUUCGGCAAGGGGGUCNNNNNNACUUACCAACCCGAUGCAAACUGCGAAUACCGGAGAAUGUUAUCACGGGAGACACACGGCGGGUGCUAACGUCCGUCGUGAAGAGGGAAACAACCCAGACCGCCAGCUAAGGUCCCAAAGUCAUGGUUAAGUGGGAAACGAUGUGGGAAGGCCCAGACAGCCAGGAUGUUGGCUUAGAAGCAGCCAUCAUUUAAAGAAAGCGUAAUAGCUCACUGGUCGAGUCGGCCUGCGCGGAAGAUGUAACGGGGCUAAACCAUGCACCGAAGCUGCGGCAGCGACGCUUAUGCGUUGUUGGGUAGGGGAGCGUUCUGUAAGCCUGCGAAGGUGUGCUGUGAGGCAUGCUGGAGGUAUCAGAAGUGCGAAUGCUGACAUAAGUAACGAUAAAGCGGGUGAAAAGCCCGCUCGCCGGAAGACCAAGGGUUCCUGUCCAACGUUAAUCGGGGCAGGGUGAGUCGACCCCUAAGGCGAGGCCGAAAGGCGUAGUCGAUGGGAAACAGGUUAAUAUUCCUGUACUUGGUGUUACUGCGAAGGGGGGACGGAGAAGGCUAUGUUGGCCGGGCGACGGUUGUCCCGGUUUAAGCGUGUAGGCUGGUUUUCCAGGCAAAUCCGGAAAAUCAAGGCUGAGGCGUGAUGACGAGGCACUACGGUGCUGAAGCAACAAAUGCCCUGCUUCCAGGAAAAGCCUCUAAGCAUCAGGUAACAUCAAAUCGUACCCCAAACCGACACAGGUGGUCAGGUAGAGAAUACCAAGGCGCUUGAGAGAACUCGGGUGAAGGAACUAGGCAAAAUGGUGCCGUAACUUCGGGAGAAGGCACGCUGAUAUGUAGGUGAGGUCCCUCGCGGAUGGAGCUGAAAUCAGUCGAAGAUACCAGCUGGCUGCAACUGUUUAUUAAAAACACAGCACUGUGCAAACACGAAAGUGGACGUAUACGGUGUGACGCCUGCCCGGUGCCGGAAGGUUAAUUGAUGGGGUUAGCGCAAGCGAAGCUCUUGAUCGAAGCCCCGGUAAACGGCGGCCGUAACUAUAACGGUCCUAAGGUAGCGAAAUUCCUUGUCGGGUAAGUUCCGACCUGCACGAAUGGCGUAAUGAUGGCCAGGCUGUCUCCACCCGAGACUCAGUGAAAUUGAACUCGCUGUGAAGAUGCAGUGUACCCGCGGCAAGACGGAAAGACCCCGUGAACCUUUACUAUAGCUUGACACUGAACAUUGAGCCUUGAUGUGUAGGAUAGGUGGGAGGCUUUGAAGUGUGGACGCCAGUCUGCAUGGAGCCGACCUUGAAAUACCACCCUUUAAUGUUUGAUGUUCUAACGUUGACCCGUAAUCCGGGUUGCGGACAGUGUCUGGUGGGUAGUUUGACUGGGGCGGUCUCCUCCUAAAGAGUAACGGAGGAGCACGAAGGUUGGCUAAUCCUGGUCGGACAUCAGGAGGUUAGUGCAAUGGCAUAAGCCAGCUUGACUGCGAGCGUGACGGCGCGAGCAGGUGCGAAAGCAGGUCAUAGUGAUCCGGUGGUUCUGAAUGGAAGGGCCAUCGCUCAACGGAUAAAAGGUACUCCGGGGAUAACAGGCUGAUACCGCCCAAGAGUUCAUAUCGACGGCGGUGUUUGGCACCUCGAUGUCGGCUCAUCACAUCCUGGGGCUGAAGUAGGUCCCAAGGGUAUGGCUGUUCGCCAUUUAAAGUGGUACGCGAGCUGGGUUUAGAACGUCGUGAGACAGUUCGGUCCCUAUCUGCCGUGGGCGCUGGAGAACUGAGGGGGGCUGCUCCUAGUACGAGAGGACCGGAGUGGACGCAUCACUGGUGUUCGGGUUGUCAUGCCAAUGGCACUGCCCGGUAGCUAAAUGCGGAAGAGAUAAGUGCUGAAAGCAUCUAAGCACGAAACUUGCCCCGAGAUGAGUUCUCCCUGACCCUUUAAGGGUCCUGAAGGAACGUUGAAGACGACGACGUUGAUAGGCCGGGUGUGUAAGCGCAGCGAUGCGUUGAGCUAACCGGUACUAAUGAACCGUGAGGCUUAACCUU